This 420-nucleotide ribosomal RNA is filed under the name Fusobacteriota bacterium. RNAcentral describes it as "Fusobacteria bacterium partial 16S ribosomal RNA". It matches the Rfam family "Bacterial small subunit ribosomal RNA", at positions 355 to 776 of the family's 1533-position model. Lineage: Bacteria; Fusobacteriati; Fusobacteriota. The record is from RNAcentral.
UGGGGGAUAUUGCACAAUGGGCGAAAGCCUGAUGCAGCGACGCCGCGUGGGGGUUGAAGGCCUUCGGGUUGUAAACUUCUUUUGCUCUGAACAAGGCAUGCCUUUGGGGUGUGUUGAGUGUAGGGGUUGAUUAGCGCCGGCUAACUACGUGCCAGCAGCCGCGGUAAUACGUAGGGCGCGAGCGUUGUCCGGAAUUAUUGGGCGUAAAGGGCUUGUAGGUGGCUGGUUGCGUCUGUCGUGAAAGCUCAUGGCUUAACUGUGGGUUUGCGGUGGGUACGGGCUGGCUUGAGUGCAGUAGGGGAGGCUGGAAUUCCUGGUGUGGCGGUGGAAUGCGCAGAUAUCAGGAGGAAUACCGGUGGCGAAGGCGGGUCUCUGGGCUGUUACUGACGCUGAGGAGCGAAAGCGUGGGGAGCGAACAGG